RNAcentral lists this ribosomal RNA (450 nucleotides) under uncultured bacterium. RNAcentral describes it as "bacterial SSU rRNA". It matches the Rfam family "Bacterial small subunit ribosomal RNA", at positions 30 to 524 of the family's 1533-position model. The record is from RNAcentral.
AUUGAACGCUGGCGGCAGGCCUAACACAUGCAAGUCGAACGCUGUAGCAAUACAGAGUGGCAGACGGGUGAGUAACACGUGGGAACGUACCUUUCGGUUCGGAAUAACUCAGGGAAACUUGAGCUAAUACCGGAUACGUGCGAGAGCAGAAAGAUUUAUCGCCGAAAGAUCGGCCCGCGUCCGAUUAGCUUGUUGGUGAGGUAAUGGCUCACCAAGGCGACGAUCGGUAGCUGGUCUGAGAGGAUGAUCAGCCACACUGGGACUGAGACACGGCCCAGACUCCUACGGGAGGCAGCAGUGGGGAAUAUUGGACAAUGGACGAAAGCCUGAUCCAGCCAUGCCGCGUGAGUGAUGAAGGCCCUAGGGUUGUAAAGCUCUUUCGCCAGGGACGAUAAUGACGGUACCUGGAUAAGAAGCCCCGGCUAACUUCGUGCCAGCAGCCGCGGUAAU